Molecule: ribosomal RNA, 351 nt
Filed under: Triticum aestivum (bread wheat)
Lineage: Eukaryota; Viridiplantae; Streptophyta; Magnoliopsida; Poales; Poaceae
Description: partial small subunit ribosomal RNA
Source: RNAcentral
AUGCAGUACAUGGGGUAUAGGGGGCAGGGUGUUCUUCUCGAGCACGUCUCCCUUGUGCGGCUUAUAGACGCAACACAUAUCUGUGGGCUCCCUGAGCAAGCCGAUGGAUAUCGACGACGACGGGGCCAGCCAUGGCCAUGGUUGCGGGGGGUGUGCGACGAGGUGGCUCGGUCGGGCUCGUCUGGUGAUGGUGGACUGCAAGCAGCGGCUUGGGUCAUAGGACCCCAUGCUCGCCGCGGUGUUCGUAGCCGGCGGCCACCGAAAGUAGGAGGUGGAGGAUGCUUGACGGUGCGGGAGGUCAUCGGUGGACGCGCCGACGACUCGGACGGCGAGAAAGCAGUAGGUGGAUGA